RNAcentral lists this ribosomal RNA (253 nucleotides) under uncultured bacterium. Its description in RNAcentral is "partial 16S ribosomal RNA". It matches the Rfam family "Bacterial small subunit ribosomal RNA", at positions 524 to 776 of the family's 1533-position model. The record is from RNAcentral.
UACGGAGGGUGCAAACGUUGCUCGGAAUCAUUGGGCGUAAAGCGCACGUAGGCGGCUAUUCAAGUCAGAGGUGAAAGCCCGGGGCUCAACCCCGGAACUGCCUUUGAAACUAGGUAGCUAGAAUCUUGGAGAGGUCAGUGGAAUUCCGAGUGUAGAGGUGAAAUUCGUAGAUAUUCGGAAGAACACCAGUGGCGAAGGCGACUGACUGGACAAGUAUUGACGCUGAGGUGCGAAAGCGUGGGGAGCAAACAGG